Molecule: long non-coding RNA, 609 nt
Organism: Acromyrmex echinatior (Panamanian leafcutter ant)
Lineage: Eukaryota; Metazoa; Arthropoda; Insecta; Hymenoptera; Formicidae
Source: RefSeq, a predicted model, not a curated record
UAAGGAUGCUUCCUUAUGAUAAUCGAAAUUUCGGAAGAUGGAAACUCGAAAAAGUAACACGACCAAUCAGCAUCAUUUAUGUUUAGCACGUUCAUGUAACGUAUAAUAUGAUUGGUCGCAUUACUUAUCGACUAUCAUAGGAUAACAGCAUUUUCUAAACAUUUGUUACAUAUCGAAGCGCAGCGAUAUAUCGAAGCACAAGAAAGAGUUACACUAUCGAGAUGAGGUAAUAAUUUUUAAUUGGUUGCUUAAUAUCUGCUAGGAACGCUAAUGAAUUUGUCCUUUGGGUUCGGUAUUCUCUACGCCACAUAGAAGCUAUCAGCUGUUCGGUGACAGGACAGAAGUUUUUUAAUACAAAGAGCAUUUGCUGAAAGAAAAGAAUGAUAGAGGAAAUAAUUGAACAAUAAUGCCCAAUUUUCUGUAAAGCUAAUAAUGAAUACAACAUUUUUUCUGAGAGCUUUAUUGUCACAUGAAUAACAAUAAAACGACUGACAUGUCUGGCAGCCGUUAAAGAGCUGCCUAUUAUAAACGUUUAUACAAAUUGAAUUUCUAUUCGAUACUAUUUGAUCACCAUCGUGACGCAAGAUAUAUAAGAAAAAUGUUAGAAAU